CACGGGGGGAGCAAGCGUUGUUCGGAAUCACUGGGCGUAAAGGGCGUGUAGGCGGUCAAGUAAGUGGAAUGUGAAAGCCCCCGGCUUACCCGGGGAUCUGCAUCCCAAACUGCUUGGCUUGAGUACGGGAGAGGAUAGGGGAAUUCCUGGUGUAGCGGUGAAAUGCGUAGAUAUCGAGAGGAACACCUGCGGCGAAGGCGGGUUGCUGGGCCGACACUGACGCUGAUGCGCGAAAGCCAGGGGAGCGAACGGG
This 253-nucleotide ribosomal RNA is filed under the name uncultured bacterium. Its description in RNAcentral is "partial 16S ribosomal RNA". It matches the Rfam family "Bacterial small subunit ribosomal RNA", at positions 524 to 776 of the family's 1533-position model. The record is from RNAcentral.